Molecule: transfer RNA, 59 nt
Filed under: Ceraclea indistincta
Lineage: Eukaryota; Metazoa; Arthropoda; Insecta; Trichoptera; Leptoceridae
Description: tRNA-Ser
Source: RNAcentral
GAAAUUUAAAAUAUUAAACUUCUAAUUUAAUUAAUAGUGAAUAAAUCAUUAAAAUUUCU